UGGGGAAUAUUGCGCAAUGGGGGGAACCCUGACGCAGCCAUGCCGCGUGAAUGAAGAAGGCCUUAGGGUUGUAAAGUUCUUUCGGUAUUGAGGAAGGUUGAUGUGUUAAUAGCACAUCAAAUUGACGUUAAAUACAGAAGAAGCACCGGCUAACUCCGUGCCAGCAGCCGCGGUAAUACGGAGGGUGCGAGCGUUAAUCGGAAUAACUGGGCGUAAAGGGCACGCAGGCGGUUAUUUAAGUGAGGUGUGAAAGCCCUGGGCUUAACCUAGGAAUUGCAUUUCAGACUGGGUAACUAGAGUACUUUAGGGAGGGGUAGAAUUCCACGUGUAGCGGUGAAAUGCGUAGAGAUGUGGAGGAAUACCGAAGGCGAAGGCAGCCCCUUGGGAAUGUACUGACGCUCAUGUGCGAAAGCGUGGGGAGCAAACAGGAUUAGAUACCCUGGUAGUCCACGCUGUAAACGCUGUCGAUUUGGGGGUUGGGGUUUAACUUUGGCGCCCGUAGCUAACGUGAUAAAUCGACCGCCUGGGGAGUACGGCCGCAAGGUUA
Molecule: ribosomal RNA, 547 nt
Filed under: uncultured bacterium
Lineage: Bacteria
Description: bacterial SSU rRNA
Rfam family: Bacterial small subunit ribosomal RNA
Source: RNAcentral